UCCUGACUGACCGAUAGUGAACCAGUACCGUGAGGGAAAGGCGAAAAGAACCCCGGCGAGGGGAGUGAAAAAGAACCUGAAACCGUGUACGUACAAGCAGUGGGAGCACGCUUAGGCGUGUGACUGCGUACCUUUUGUAUAAUGGGUCAGCGACUUAUAUUCUGUAGCAAGGUUAACCGAAUAGGGGAGCCGAAGGGAAACCGAGUCUUAACUGGGCGUUAAGUUGCAGGGUAUAGACCCGAAACCCGGUGAUCUAGCCAUGGGCAGGUUGAAGGUUGGGUAACACUAACUGGAGGACCGAACCGACUAAUGUUGAAAAAUUAGCGGAUGACUUGUGGCUGGGGGUGAAAGGCCAAUCAAACCGGGAGAUAGCUGGUUCUCCCCGAAAGCUAUUUAGGUAGCGCCUCGUGAAUUCAUCUCCGGGGGUAGAGCACUGUUUCGGCAAGGGGGUCAUCCCGACUUACCAACCCGAUGCAAACUGCGAAUACCGGAGAAUGUUAUCACGGGAGACACACGGCGGGUGCUAACGUCCGUCGUGAAGAGGGAAACAACCCAGACCGCCAGCUAAGGUCCCAAAGUCAUGGUUAAGUGGGAAACGAUGUGGGAAGGCCCAGACAGCCAGGAUGUUGGCUUAGAAGCAGCCAUCAUUUAAAGAAAGCGUAAUAGCUCACUGGUCGAGUCGGCCUGCGCGGAAGAUGUAACGGGGCUAAACCAUGCACCGAAGCUGCGGCAGCGACGCUUAUGCGUUGUUGGGUAGGGGAGCGUUCUGUAAGCCUGCGAAGGUGUGCUGUGAGGCAUGCUGGAGGUAUCAGAAGUGCGAAUGCUGACAUAAGUAACG
RNAcentral lists this ribosomal RNA (838 nucleotides) under Shigella sonnei. Its description in RNAcentral is "partial 23S ribosomal RNA". It matches the Rfam family "Bacterial large subunit ribosomal RNA", at positions 474 to 1311 of the family's 2925-position model. Lineage: Bacteria; Pseudomonadati; Pseudomonadota; Gammaproteobacteria; Enterobacterales; Enterobacteriaceae. The record is from RNAcentral.